RNAcentral lists this ribosomal RNA (253 nucleotides) under uncultured bacterium. RNAcentral describes it as "partial 16S ribosomal RNA". It matches the Rfam family "Bacterial small subunit ribosomal RNA", at positions 524 to 776 of the family's 1533-position model. The record is from RNAcentral.
UACGAAGGGGGCUAGCGUUGUUCGGAUUUACUGGGCGUAAAGCGCACGUAGGCGGAUCUUUAAGUCAGAGGUGAAAUCCCAAGGCUCAACCUUGGAACUGCCUUUGAUACUGGGGAUCUUGAGUCCGGGAGAGGUGAGUGGAACUGCGAGUGUAGAGGUGAAAUUCGUAGAUAUUCGCAAGAACACCAGUGGCGAAGGCGGCCGACUGGUCCGGUUCUGACGCUGAGGCGCGAAAGCGUGGGGAGCAAACAGG